This 194-nucleotide unclassified non-coding RNA is filed under the name uncultured fungus. RNAcentral describes it as "sequence contains ITS1". Lineage: Eukaryota; Fungi. The record is from RNAcentral.
UUAACUAUUACAUAGUACUUCAGACAAUACAAAAUUUCAGAGUUUAGGGUCCUCUGGCAGGCACUGACCAGCUGAAGCCGGUGGUCAAACGACGGGCCUACCAAAGCAACAAAGGUAUUGUAAACAAAGGGUGGAGAUCUACCCCAAGGGGCAAGUUCUCUGUAAUGAUCCUUCCGCAGGUUCACCUACGGAAA